GAUGAAGAACGUAGCGAAAUGCGAUAAGUAGUGUGAAUUGCAGAAUUCAGUGAAUCAUCGAAUCUUUGAACGCACAUUGCGCCCCUCGGUAUUCCGUGGGGCACGCCUGUUCGAGCGUCAUUUACACCCUCAAGCGCAGCUUGGUGUUGGGCGUCUGUCCCGCUCUCCGUAGCGCGGACUCGCCUCAAAGUCAUUGGCGGCGGUCGUACCGGCUCCUCGCGCAGCACAUUUGCGCUUCUCGGAGGCCCGGCGGAUCGGCAUCCAGCAAGCUACUUUUUAUGACUUGACCUCGGAUCAGGUGAGGAUACCCGCUGAACUUAAGCAUAUCAAUAAGCGGAGGA
This 341-nucleotide unclassified non-coding RNA is filed under the name soil metagenome. RNAcentral's name for it is "partial contains 5.8S ribosomal RNA, internal transcribed spacer 2, and large subunit ribosomal RNA". The stretch from base 1 to 120 matches the Rfam family "5.8S ribosomal RNA", at positions 35 to 154 of the family's 154-position model. The record is from RNAcentral.